UACGAAGGGGGCUAGCGUUGCUCGGAAUCACUGGGCGUAAAGCGCACGUAGGCGGAUUGCUAAGUCAGGGGUGAAAUCCUGGAGCUCAACUCCAGAACUGCCUUUGAUACUGGCGACCUUGAGUCCGGGAGAGGUGAGUGGAACUGCGAGUGUAGAGGUGAAAUUCGUAGAUAUUCGCAAGAACACCAGUGGCGAAGGCGGCUCACUGGGCCGGUACUGACGCUGAGGAGCGAAAGCGUGGGGAGCGAACAGG
This 253-nucleotide ribosomal RNA is filed under the name uncultured bacterium. RNAcentral's name for it is "partial 16S ribosomal RNA". It matches the Rfam family "Bacterial small subunit ribosomal RNA", at positions 524 to 776 of the family's 1533-position model. The record is from RNAcentral.